UACGUAGGUGGCAAGCAUUGUCCGGAAUUAUUGGGCGUAAAGGGCGCGUAGGCGGUUCUUUAAGUCAGAUGUGAAAUCCCGAGGCUCAACCUCGGGCGUGCAUUUGAAACUGGGGGACUAGAGUGCAGGAGAGGUAAGUGGAAUUCCUAGUGUAGCGGUGAAAUGCGUAGAUAUUAGGAGGAACACCAGUGGCGAAGGCGACUUACUGGACUGUAACUGACGCUGAGGCGCGAAAGCGUGGGGAGCAAACAGGAUUAGAAACCCCCGUAGUCC
Molecule: ribosomal RNA, 273 nt
Filed under: uncultured bacterium
Lineage: Bacteria
Description: partial 16S ribosomal RNA
Rfam family: Bacterial small subunit ribosomal RNA
Source: RNAcentral